GGCCUGGCGGGAGCGGAAGAUCCCGGCGGCGCCGGACAGGGAGCUGGCGACAGCUGUGCGGGCUCGGGGCGGGCCCGGUUGGCAGCGGGAAGGAGGGCGCGCGAGGGGGCGGUGGACCACGCUCUGCCGGAUUCUCCGGCCGCGCGGCCAUGAACCUGGAGCGGCUGCGGAAGCGUGUCCGGCAGUACCUGGACCAGCAACAGUAUCAAAGUGCUCUAUUUUGGGCAGAUAAAGUAGCUUCACUCUCUCAUGAGGAACCCCAGGACAUUUAUUGGUUGGCUCAGUGUCUUUACCUGACAGCGCAAUAUCACAGAGCAGCUCAUGCACUUCGGUCACGAAAACUGGACAAACUGUAUGAAGCAUGCCGCUACCUUGCAGCUAGAUGCCAUUAUGCUGCGAAAGAGCAUCAGCAGGCACUUGAUAUUCUUGACAUGGAGGAGCCAAUCAACAAAAGGUUAUUUGAGAAAUACUUGAAGGAUGAAAGUGGCUUGAAAGACCCCUCCAAUGACUGGGAAAUGUCACAGUCCUCCAUAAAGAGUUCUAUUUGUCUUUUACGAGGGAAAAUCUAUGAUGCUCUGGAUAACCGAGCCCUAGCUACCUAUAGCUACAAAGAAGCGUUGAAGCUGGAUGCCUACUGUUUUGAAGCAUUUGAUCUUUUAACAUCACACCACAUGUUGACAGCUCAAGAAGAGAAAGAACUUCUUGAGUCACUACCUCUUAGCAAGCUCUGUACUGAAGAACAGGAAUUGCUACGCUUUCUAUUUGAGAACAAAUUAAAAAAGUAUAAUAAACCCAGUGAAACUGUCCUCCCCGAGUCUGUAGAUGGUUUGCAGGAGAAUCUGGAUGUGGUAGUGUCUUUGGCUGAAAGACAUUAUUAUAACUGUGAUUUUAAAAUGUGCUACAAGCUUACUUCUGUAGUGAUGGAGAAAGAUCCUUUCCAUGCAAACUGUUUACCUGUACAUAUAGGGACACUUGUGGAGCUGAAUAAAGCAAAUGAACUUUUCUACCUUUCUCAUAAAUUGGUGGAUCUGUAUCCUAGUAAUCCUGUGUCUUGGUUUGCAGUGGGAUGCUAUUAUCUCAUGGUUGGUCAUAAAAAUGAACAUGCCAGAAGAUACCUCAGCAAAGCGACAACACUUGAGAAGACUUACGGGCCUGCGUGGGUAGCGUACGGACACUCAUUUGCAGUUGAGAGCGAGCAUGACCAGGCCAUGGCUGCUUACUUCACAGCCGCGCAGCUCAUGAAAGGGUGUCAUUUGCCAAUGCUCUACAUCGGAUUAGAAUAUGGAUUGACCAAUAACUCAAAGUUGGCUGAAAGAUUCUUUGGCCAAGCGCUAAGCAUUGCACCAGAAGACCCUUUUGUUAUGCACGAGGUUGGCGUAGUUGCAUUUCAGAAUGGCGAAUGGAAAACAGCUGAAAAGUGGUUUCUUGAUGCAUUGGAAAAAAUUAAAGCAAUUGGGAAUGAGGUGACGGUUGACAAAUGGGAGCCUUUGUUGAACAACUUGGGGCAUGUCUGCAGGAAGCUUAAAAAGUAUGCCGAGGCCUUGGAUUAUCACCGUCAGGCACUGGUGUUAAUUCCUCAGAACGCGUCUACCUAUUCUGCCAUAGGGUAUAUCCAUAGUCUGAUGGGCAACUUUGAAAAUGCUGUUGACUAUUUCCACACAGCCCUUGGUCUUAGGCGGGAUGAUACAUUUUCUGUUACAAUGCUUGGUCAUUGCAUUGAGAUGUACAUUGGUGAUUCUGAAGCUUACAUUGAAAGUCCACAACCACCAGACUUGUGAUCCGGAUGUCUGUUCUGCUGACUUUUCAAACAGUUGCUUAAAAUAACUGCCGUUUUACCCAGUGCAAAGGUUUUGGCCCAGUUCAAAGGUUAUACCAUCAGAGCUUUUGAUCAGCAUACCUAAACUGCCUGUACGGAGUUGAUUUGAGACCAAAAAAAAAAAAAAGAAACCGUGGAGCCAGGGUGGGCAACCUUAUCAUAGGUGUGUUUCUAAUAGGAUUCCUUUAGAUUUAUGAAAUAUUGACAACUGCUCCUUGCCCCCUUCAUGGGGUUUUAGAAAACUGCUUUGGAACUGCUUUUUGAGUCUUGGCUCAUUUAAAAGUCACAUUCCCAGUGUGUUCAUUGGUAGCGAGUAGUUUAAGGAUAAAGCACUAGAAUUAGGCCUGGACUUACCUCCAGUAUCUGACAGUGACUCCCUUCAUCUCUGUUUGUACUCGGAAGUUCUCGGGAGAAAGAUGCUAUGAAUGACAAAUACAGCCAAGGUAAUUAAAAAAUAG
Neofelis nebulosa (Clouded leopard) is the source of this 2274-nucleotide RNA transcript. It is a transcript of the gene named cell division cycle 16, with no coding region annotated. The transcript has 19 exons. NCBI's taxonomy places the organism in Eukaryota, Metazoa, Chordata, Mammalia, Carnivora, Felidae. The record is from RefSeq and is a predicted model, not a curated record.